UUCAUGCGCUAUAGGUAGAUAACUCAGAGAGGGCUUUAUACUAGGCACGCACAACACAUAUUUACAAAGCCAGAGUAAAAGGAAGGCCACUCGCUCAGCAUGAGUAGGUUCAGCACUCGAGUGAUUGUGCAGUGUCUGCAGGCUUGAAUAAGAAUCGGUAUAGUUUUUACCGAACUGAGGGGCGCCACCAGAAACUAAGAUGCCUGGGAAAACGGUAUCACCCAAAGGUGGUAAAUUUACCAGAGCCCCAACAUCCCUUAACGUAAUAGACAUGGGGCCAAGAGGAAAAAUAAAGGUGUUAUACUCAGAGGACCAAAAGCUCAAAGCAAUCGGAAAGAGCGCUGAAUCAAAAGUAGGGGGCGAAUAGAGACUUCCAACAAAUCAGAAAUCCUAGCGCUAUCAAAAAGUGCCUUAGUAGGACCAUGACCCACAAGACGAGCAUGCCACCUAUGAAAAGCUACGACAGAUUUGGGCCAAGUGCGAA
This 484-nucleotide long non-coding RNA is filed under the name Olea europaea (common olive). RNAcentral's name for it is "long non-coding RNA (OEUR_LNC013541)". Lineage: Eukaryota; Viridiplantae; Streptophyta; Magnoliopsida; Lamiales; Oleaceae. The record is from RNAcentral.